This 205-nucleotide small nucleolar RNA is filed under the name Eremothecium cymbalariae DBVPG#7215. RNAcentral's name for it is "Small nucleolar RNA snR34". It matches the Rfam family "Small nucleolar RNA snR34". The record is from Rfam by way of RNAcentral. Lineage: Eukaryota; Fungi; Ascomycota; Saccharomycetes; Saccharomycetales; Saccharomycetaceae.
GAAUCAAAAAUUAACCGGAAACAAUGCCACAGUUAGCUUUUUAUCUGUCUCCAACAGGUGCUAAUUGCCAGCGAUUUCAAUAUAAUUGAAAUGCUAGUUUCCCAGAGUGAUAUGACUGGAUAGGAAGUUCGUGGACUGUGUAUCUAGUACCUUCAAUGGAAGGUAUUGGUUGAUGGACCAGGAAUGUCGUAGAAAGGCAACAUUU